Molecule: ribosomal RNA, 255 nt
Filed under: uncultured bacterium
Lineage: Bacteria
Description: partial 16S ribosomal RNA
Rfam family: Bacterial small subunit ribosomal RNA
Source: RNAcentral
UACGUAGGGCGCAAGCGUUGUCCGGAAUUAUUGGGCGUAAAGAGCUCGUAGGCGGUCUGUUGCGUCCGCUGUGAAAACUCGGGGCUUAACCCCGAGCCUGCAGUGGAUACCGGGCAGACUGGAGGUAUGCAGGGGAGAACGGAAUUCCUGGUGUAGGCGGUGAAAAUGCGCAGAUAUCAGGAGGAACACCGGUGGCGAAGGCGGUUCUCUGGGCAUGUCCUGACGCUGAGGAGCGAAAGUGUGGGAGCGAACAGG